This 253-nucleotide ribosomal RNA is filed under the name uncultured bacterium. RNAcentral's name for it is "partial 16S ribosomal RNA". It matches the Rfam family "Bacterial small subunit ribosomal RNA", at positions 524 to 776 of the family's 1533-position model. The record is from RNAcentral.
UACGGGGGGGGCAAGCGUUGUUCGGAAUUACUGGGCGUAAAGGGCUCGUAGGUGGCCAACUAAGUCAGACGUGAAAUCCCUCAGCUUAACUGGGGAACUGCGUCUGAUACUGGAUGGCUUGAGUUUGGGAGAGGGAUGUGGAAUUCCAGGUGUAGCGGUGAAAUGCGUAGAUAUCUGGAGGAACACCGGUGGCGAAGGCGGCAUCCUGGACCAACACUGACACUGAGGAGCGAAAGCCAGGGGAGCAAACGGG